RNAcentral lists this transfer RNA (62 nucleotides) under Otolemur garnettii (small-eared galago). It matches the Rfam family "tRNA", at positions 6 to 65 of the family's 71-position model. From Rfam's summary of the family: Transfer RNA (tRNA) molecules are approximately 80 nucleotides in length. Lineage: Eukaryota; Metazoa; Chordata; Mammalia; Primates; Galagidae. The record is from Rfam by way of RNAcentral.
CAUAGCUCAGUGGUUAGAGCACUGGUCUUAUAAACCAGGUGUAGUGAGUUCAAGCCUCUCUG